This 460-nucleotide ribosomal RNA is filed under the name uncultured bacterium. Its description in RNAcentral is "partial 16S ribosomal RNA". It matches the Rfam family "Bacterial small subunit ribosomal RNA", at positions 338 to 795 of the family's 1533-position model. The record is from RNAcentral.
CCUACGGGAGGCAGCAGUGAGGAAUAUUGGUCAAUGGCCGCAAGCCUGAACCAGCCAAGUAGCGUGAAGGAUGACUGCCCUACGGGUUGUAAACUUCUUUUGUAAAGGGAUAAAGUGAGGCACGUGUGCCUUUUUGUGUGUACUUUAUGAAUAAGGAUCGGCUAACUCCGUGCCAGCAGCCGCGGUAAUACGGAGGAUCCGAGCGUUAUCCGGGUUUAUUGGGUUUAAAGGGGGCGGUGAUGGGUUGUUAAGUCAGGUGGUAAAGUUUGGGGCUGAACCGUCAAAGUGCAAUUGAUACUGGCAGUCUUGAGAUGAGGUGAGGUAGGCGGAAUUCGCAGUGUAGCGGUGAAAUGCUUAGAUAUUACGAAGAACUCCGAUUGCGAAGGCAGCAUACUAAACGGGAACUGACACUGAGGCUCGAAAGUGUGGGUAUCAAACAGGAUUAGAUACCCUAGUAGUC